Long non-coding RNA from Ictalurus punctatus (channel catfish), 442 nucleotides. Lineage: Eukaryota; Metazoa; Chordata; Actinopteri; Siluriformes; Ictaluridae. The record is from Ensembl.
GACGAACUCUUAAUUAGUUAGUCUAUCUUUUACUUUAAUCUUAAAACUCAUUUAAAGUUUGUAACUGGAGCUUAAAGACCACCUUCCGGGGUAAAUUUCCUUAGUUCAAGACAAUGCUGCUGUAUAUAAUAGCUAUAAAUCUUCUAUACACACAAAAAAAAGGCCUAAAGGGGUUAGUCUACUGGAGCCGUGUGACAUCUCAGUUUCAUCCCUUUCUCCCUUGUUUACUUCAUUCAUCAGUCAUCUUUUCUUCAGAUCUCUCUGUCUUCACUCUGGUGUCAUCUGUUCUCUUUUUUCCCUGCGACCAUAGAAACUCAGUCACUCACCCUCAUCGAGUCCGAACCAGAUAUCACACCAUCGAUACGCCUUUCCAGGACCACAGGAGGAUGAAGCGAGAUAGGCGAAUGUCGGUCUACAGCGACUCGUAUGAAUCGCCUGAGAG